Molecule: long non-coding RNA, 1325 nt
Filed under: Capsicum annuum
Lineage: Eukaryota; Viridiplantae; Streptophyta; Magnoliopsida; Solanales; Solanaceae
Description: long non-coding RNA (CANN_LNC020512)
Source: RNAcentral
GACUCCUAAAAUAUAUGGUAGGAGAAUUAAUUAAUAUUUUUUUCUACUGUUCAAUUAGAAAAAUACUCCUAAAAUAGGACGAAAAUACUUUUUUAAAUAUUAAGAUGUACGUUAAACUAGAGAACAAACCGGUUUGCCUAUUGGGAGAAUAUGAUUGAUGUUCAUCUAACUUAAUUCGAUUGCAUGUCUCGAUUGAUGGAUGCUUAAUUUCUAACUCUCAACUUCUUCACUUUUUUGUCAGCAUAAUAAAAUUCAACAUGUGUGUAUAUAUAUAUCUUCUUUGUUUUCAUUCAAAAUCAUUCUUCAGGGUCAAAAUUUUCACUCAGACAAAAAUUAGUUGGAUCAAAAUCGAAGUUUCAUGAUCACUAUUAUGUUAUUUUUUUUAUAGUUUACAGGUCGUAGGUGAGUGUUGGUUGAUUUUGAAGAAUUUCUUGUGUAAAAGUUAGGUUUAAUUGUAUUGUUUUGAUAUCUUUGUUAUCUUAUUGUUUUAUUUUAAUUUACAGAUGUUAAAUGAAUGUGAGUCGACUUUGAAAUUUUUUUUUCAAGUAAAGGUUAAGUUUAAUUGCAUUAUCGUAAUAUCUCUAUUAGUUUAUUAUUUUGUUGUAGUUUACAGUUCGUAUAUGAAUCUCGAUCGGCUUUGAGAAAGUUUUGUGUGUGAAAUUUAAGUUUAAUUGUAUUGUUUUGAUAUCACUUUUAUCGUAUUAUUUUGUUGCAGUAUACAAGUGAUAGAUAAAUGUUGGUCGGCUUUGAGAAAUCUUUUUAUGUAAAGGUUAGGUUUAGUUGUACUAUUUUGAUAUCUCUAUUAUCGUAUUAUUUUGUUAUUGUUUACAGGUGGUAGAUGAGUGUCGGACGACUUUGAGAAAAAUUUUGUGUGUAAAGAUUAGAUUAGAUUAGAUUAGAUUUAAUUGUACUAUUUUGAUGUUUCUAUCGUUGUAUUGUUUUGUUGCAAUUUACAGAUGGUAGAUGAACGUCGAUCGAUUUUUAAAAAUAUUUUUUAUAAAGGUUAUGUUUAAUAAAUAAAUUCUCCAUCUUUACAUACUCAAAAAAUAUUAAAUUUAAUUAUUAUAUUCAUUUUUAUUAUUUAAACAAAUAUCCUAUUUAGUAUAAUGUUUGAACUCAUUAAAGUGAGGUACACGCGCAAGGCGCGUACACCUAAACUAGUUAUUUGAAACUUCAAAACCAAACUAAAAUCACAAAAGGAAACUUCUCAAUAAACCAUUGUUUAUUAAAAUAUAUGAUAAUUUUUUUUAAAACAUAAAAAAUAUAAUAAAAUUUUAGAAAACUGACCUCAAAUAACUAUUAAAUUUGUUUCUACAAUUAAAGUU